RNAcentral lists this transfer RNA (73 nucleotides) under Aureoumbra lagunensis. RNAcentral describes it as "tRNA-Asn". It matches the Rfam family "tRNA". From Rfam's summary of the family: Transfer RNA (tRNA) molecules are approximately 80 nucleotides in length. The record is from RNAcentral. Lineage: Eukaryota; Pelagophyceae; Sarcinochrysidales; Sarcinochrysidaceae.
UCCUUUAUAGCUCAAAAGGCAGAGCGAUUGACUGUUAAUUAAUUUGAUGUUGGUUCAAGUCCAUCUGAAGGAG